Molecule: ribosomal RNA, 155 nt
Filed under: Dioszegia hungarica
Lineage: Eukaryota; Fungi; Basidiomycota; Tremellomycetes; Tremellales; Bulleribasidiaceae
Description: 5.8S ribosomal RNA
Rfam family: 5.8S ribosomal RNA
About the family: 5.8S ribosomal RNA (5.8S rRNA) is a component of the large subunit of the eukaryotic ribosome. It is transcribed by RNA polymerase I as part of the 45S precursor that also contains 18S and 28S rRNA. Functionally, it is thought that 5.8S rRNA may be involved in ribosome translocation.
Source: RNAcentral
AACUUUCAACAACGGAUCUCUUGGCUCUCACAUCGAUGAAAAACGCAGCGAAAUGCGAUAAGUAAUGUGAAUUGCAAAAUUCAGUGAAUCAUCGAAUCUUUGAACGCAGAUUGCGCCUUUUGGUAUUCCGAAAGGCAUGCCUGUUUGAGUGUCUU